Molecule: unclassified non-coding RNA, 300 nt
Filed under: Caenorhabditis elegans
Lineage: Eukaryota; Metazoa; Nematoda; Chromadorea; Rhabditida; Rhabditidae
Description: Non-coding transcript of protein-coding gene R04A9.9c
Source: RNAcentral
AAAAAAUACAACGGUAAAGUGCUGGCAUUACAUCGACUUUUAUCGAAUAAGAAAUAUCGCAAACUGGAUGAAAACGUUGACUAUAUAGAAUUUGUGCAAAAAGGGUUUAUGUAUCUUUUAUCAAUUGGAAGACAGGAGUACAAUAAGACGGACAAAGCGAAAUGCGAUUUUUUGAUCAGGAGAAUUCGAAUCGUUGAAGAUGCAUUAAUUAGAACCAUUAUUUUGGGCGAAGACUUCACAAAAAUCAUUGCACAAUCGGAGCACCUCCUGGAACGAUUUUUCCCCAAAAUUUUAUUUUAA